ACUCAGGAGGCUCAGGGAAUUAACCAGGAGGGAACAGUAGCCCGGUUAAAAUAGUUUCUGUACUUCCAGAGGAAGCAAUUAAAUCUCAGCGUCUACCAUGGCAAAAGACCGAUUGUACUUGAGGAACAAAAUCGGGGAUGAUCAUCCUUUAGUGGCGGGAAGCUGGAAAAUGAGGGACUGUGGGCUGUGAGGAGAGAGAAAGAGGCUUGAGAAACCAGAAACCAUCAUUUGCAUCCAAGAAACUGUGCUCUCCAUGGCUUCCUCAAGAUGAGCAAACAAGAGUGAUACAGAUUUUUCUGAGAUGGACAGUGCCUCUCACUGACCCCGCCCCCAGUAUCCUACGACCAAGGAAAAGAAUCUCAUGUGUCAUUUCUGUGGGCCACGGUAGUUAAGGAAACUCCAUGUAUU
RNAcentral lists this long non-coding RNA (408 nucleotides) under Homo sapiens (human). RNAcentral's name for it is "HSALNT0376310". Lineage: Eukaryota; Metazoa; Chordata; Mammalia; Primates; Hominidae. The record is from RNAcentral.